GGACGAGGCGCAGUGCGGGCCCGGCUCCUUCUAGGGAGAAACGAUGUACAGGAAAUUACGUUCCGCAGCGCCAGAAUGAAGGAGCAGCUCGUGCCCUGCACUACAAGGAGUGGGCGGGUUGGAGAGCACCUACUCGAAUUUCAAGCAAGAGAACAUUAAAACUUCAUGGAUUAGAACACCAGGACAGUGCUGCACUAGUGAGACUUCCAGCUACAAGAAGGAAACGUGAUGGAAGGGAGCAGGCAUACCCCAAAGGACUGCUUUCCAAGCACAGGAUGGGCUGAGAAAUCUUUCUUUGUAACUUCCUGCCUCUUCUCUCCCUCAUCACCACUCCCAGGAGCAUUUCCAGCUCUCCAAAACUCCCUUGGUCUUUACUGCGGAGGGGGGAAUGAGAAUUGAAUCAACUCCAGCACGUGGGAUCCUUUUAAGAAGAGGCAAGAGGACUGUGUGUGAUCCAAGUGUUCAAAAUCCAUGACACAAAUCCUCAGAAAUGGUGAAACUGCCUUUGUUAUCACCAGAGUCUAUGGGUGCUUUAGACAAAGCUUGUUUCCUCUCCCUUUUGGGAAGAGCUGUACUCACAUUGUAGGAAACAACUUCACCACUCUGCUUUGGAGGCCCUUGCUGUUGUACCAGCAUACAUGUGUGCUUGCAGCCACCACAUGCAGACAGACCCUCAGCGUCCCUCUGUCCUCUGACAGUGUCAGUUCCAUGUGGAUAGCUGGGUCCAGACUUCAAGCCUAGGUCAUACAGGAAAAAGUGGCAAAUGAUGCAGCUGACUCCAGCCUGGGUUGCCCUGGACAAGACCUGGCAUUGUUUUAGACACUGUGAUACAGCAAAGCAUCUGCAAAGGAGGAAAACAGCUCUUGCUGUACAGCAUGGCAGCUUUGGAUAGCUUGAAGCCUGAUGUGUCACAGCACAGCUUGGAGAUGAGAUGUGCCACUGUUAUGGAGCUUGAGGUCUGUCUAUCCGGGCCCAGGAAGAUGGAUGGGCUUGCAGUGUUGUUUGAAAGCUGCACCGACCUCAAGAAGGAGCCCUGAAUGUGGUGCCAGCACAACAGCAGACGGCAGGGGAGGAAAUCGAGGCAAGCACCUCUGAUGCACUUGUGGAUGACUGAUGCUGCCAUUUCUUAUUUUUAUCCUGAUUCACCACUCCUGAGGAUUUGAGCUAAGUUCUCCUUUUAUUUUCAAAAGGAACGUUCGGCAGGUUAAAAUUCAGCAUCACAAGCUGGCCUUGAGAUGGGGUUUGCUCUGGCUUCCCUGCUGAGCCGCUGCGCACAAAUUGUUUCUAAAACACAGCUCAGGCACUGCUAGCUGCUGUGCUGUCACGGGGGCUGAUCCAGCACAGAACCUGCUUGGCACUCGUGAAGAGAAAUUACCCAGUGCUGCAACUCACAAUUUAUAAUUGAUUGCAUAUUAAUAUCCAAAAAAGGAAAUAAAAUCCACUCUGUGUUUUUACAAAAGAAAAAAAAAAAAGUACUAUAAUCCAAGCAGUGAAAAUCUGGAGUACUCCUCGGCUGGCGCCGAGCUGUGCGCAGUGCUGUUUCUCCCUUCAUUACAAGCAGUUUAAAACCAUCUCCUUCCUUCAAAGGAGGAUUUUGUUCGGUGUUUGCAUUAAUUUGAAUCUCACGAACAUGACGCUCUCUUGGAACGUGCCCUCGUGCCGUAACAGCGAGACGUGCUGCCGCUUUUGUCCCUGCCACUUGGGAAAGGUGCAGCUCCUGCUGCUUGUCCCUGCGGCCAUGGGGCUGUUACUAUCAGUACACCGCCCUUUAAAGGGAAAGAAAACAGAACAAAACCCAACAGCAGCAUUUUUCCCCCCAAAGAGUUCCCUUUUACUUGUAGUGUUUAAGCCAGGCUGUGCAAGCGCUUCCUGAAAAUGAGCGAUUUAAAAUGUACAGCACUGCAUUGUAGCGGAAAGCUUGUUAUUCAGCAUACUAAUUAUUUCUGACUCCCUGUAUUUAUGAAAUGCCAUGUAGUAACUAGCUCACCACAAUGCAAAUAGUGCAAAAUCAGUGCCUUUUAUCAUUUUGGCACUUUAGUGCAUAAACAUAUUCUAGAGUCUCUUGGGGGAAGGUGGGAGAGGGGGAGGAGGGGAGUUCCUGGGAAUGAAAUAAUGCUUUUAUGACUUCUAAAGUAUGGCAUUGAAUUUCAUAAUCUGUAACACUCCAUAUAUGUAGUCCAUGUUAUGCAUUUUAUUAGUCUCAGUGGCUUACACUGCAAAGGUCAGCUGCAAGGAGAAGAUGUACAAAGGCUGUUUUGUGGAACAGGGGAGACAUCCUUGGGACAAGCUGUAACUGCAUACCUACGCCUUGCUGGGACACCACAGCUCAUCCCCAGCUAGUUUCAUUUCAGGAAUGAUGAAAGCUGGAUUACAAAGCAUUUGCUAAAGGAGGCUUUCUGGACAGCACAUAUCACUAGAGAACAAGUCUGGGGUUUGUCAAGCCCCAAAUGAACGACCCAUUACCACCGCAGUAACAGGGAGGUCUGAACGUGUACAAGUGACAACUGGGAGCAAUUGAAGUGUGAAGGGGAAGGAGGAUGGGCUGCAGCUCCAGGUGGGUUUCUGGGUAGUCCCAUGUGAUCUCCAGGAACAACAGGCAGGUGCUUCCUAGAAUGUGCAAUUCCCAGAAAUACUGUCCAUAAAACCAGGGCUUAAGGGCUCCUUUAUAAGCUUGCUUGAUGCUACAAAUUGUUGUGGAUCAUGUGCUUCAGUGCUGGGAGAAGUGUCUGCCGACAGUAGUUACCUAGCGUCUUGCUGGUAAGAGGCAGGGUGGUCGUGGAGCAUAUCAAGCUUCAGAAAACCUCACACUGACACUGAAAAUAAGAGAAAGCCAUGGCUGCUGGUGGCAGUAGAUGCUGGGCAACUGAGCAUGUUGGCAGGUUUCCCUCACUGUGUGACAGGGACUAGCCUGGCCCGCGGAGCUAGUGUUAGUAGCCUCGGGGAGGCUUAGCAGUGCUUUAGAGCUGCCAGCUCCUCGUGCAUGAGCACAAGUUCAGGAAAGGGCCUUGAAAUCCUGGUGGCUCCAGCUGGGUCCUGUUCAGUCGGAAUUUACAGCUCUUGGCAGACUUGGGUGACAUGCCAUUUCCUUAGUGCUUUACCUGUUGGCUUUAAAAAUUAGAAGGAGUGUGAGGUAGUGUAUGUCUUGCUGAAAAUGAGGAGUUGAUUUUUCCUUUCCAUGUAAAGAUAUUGUUUUCUACAUUUCGGAAACAGACCCAUAGUCUUCAGGCUCUUUAACCAUAAAACAUUUUCCUAAACUAAAGCUUCAUGGAAAGUGAAGUUUUGUAAAUGAUGCAGAAGUGAAGUAAUGAUUUUUAUCAUUCCAGAUGCGUGACUGCUCUGACUUCCUUUUUCUUUCCCUUUUCAGGUGAAAGGAAAUGUAUCAACAGCUGAUACCGAGAGAGGUUGAUCUUUUGGGUGGAAAGAUUCGCAAAACUUGUUCAACUCUUCUAAGAUCGAUGAGAGAUUUGCUGGCUCAGAUGAUACAGGAACUUUUGUCAGGAAGAAAGAGGCUGAGAUGCCCUCACCAGCAUUUUGCUGUUGUUGUCUAUCUCCACAGAGUGCUGUUGGCAGGCUGCAUAACAAGCAAUUAGGUUAUGAAUAAAGUAUAUAUUAAAAAAGAAGGCUGCGCUCAAAGUUAAAAGAAUUUCAGAGAAGACAAAAAGAAGUUAUUACAAUGAGGAAAAAGCGAACAGUUCCAGAAAAUCAAGGUCAAUAUUCCUGAAGGGCACCGUAAAUUAAAUCAACAGUUGCAUUAUUUGAACAGGGAGAUGCUGUCUGCAGUAUGUGGGUUUCCACCAUCAACACCCCAUCUUUUGUCUUGGCUCCAAGGGCUGAACUCCUGCAAAGUGGCUUCUGCAUUUCAGGAAUGUGACUCCUGUCCUUGACCUCAUCUGUAGAUAAAUACUUCCUCUCCCUUACUGCUGAGUGGUUUAGGAAGAAUUUCAGCCAGAUAGAGGUGAGAUAAAGGAAGGACAGGUGAGGAUGUUUUUCGUCCUCCCUUUUGGAACCAGACUCUUGGCUUUACCUACAUUACCUUGGGCUGGGCAGGUGUGCCCAGUGCCUCUGGGGUGGUGCAGUGAAGCCGUUCACCUUCCCCUAAAAAAGUUUUAGCCAGCAGUUAGCAGAGGGAACACUCAAAACAUUUUUCCCUCCAGCAGGGAAUGGCUGUUGGUGUCAUCAGCUGGUGUGAAAAGAUAGCUGAGUGCAGUUGUUCCAGCAAAAAAUAAGAAACAAAGGAAGAAGGGAGGACUGAAAAACUGGCUCCAUUGCUGCAUACAUUUUGUGAUGUGGUGAAACAAAGGAAAAGAGCCAUCAGGCUAGUAUGCUGCAACAGAACCUAGGAGCAUCACUUAUUGCAGAAGUGAAUUUUAAGGCACUGCAAAUCAGUCAGUGACACAUUCAGGACCAGCAGGAUGGUGCUCUGCUCAGAUCUGUGGAAGUCUGUGCAAAUUCUCCACUACCUUUAUUAAGGCAGGAUCAAACUUCUGAUGGGAUCUAGAAAGAUAAGGAAGUUUAAGAUCUAGCAAGCACAGCCCAUUGCCUCAAAAAGCUGAAUGCUCUUGCAAAUUUGAUAUAAUCCAAUUAGUCAAUUUUCUCGGUGACAUUUCUGCAGGCUCAUGUACAGAAGGACAGGGAAACAGAUUUAUUAUGAUAGCUAUUUCUAGCAAAGGUCAUUUCUUUCCUAGUGAACAACCUGUCCUUAGUCAUUCUGAUGAAAAGGUGUUGAAGGAGAAGGGAGAGGCUGUAUAGCUUUAAAGAUUAACAGGGAAUAACAUAAGCAGAGCAUAGCUAAUCUUUCUAUGUGGACCAGGAGGUUUGAAAUCAGGAUGAAGUCAGGGAAUGAGAAUCAAAAUUGUGGGAAAAAUAAUAAACGAGAUUUUUGUACAGUUUGUGAAGGAGGCUGGAUAUCCCAGUGUCAGCAGAAGGAAAGGAAAAGGGAACCACAGAGCACGAGCAUGUAUUUUUGGAUAGCAAGCAUGUCCUUGGUGGGACCAGCUGCUUCUAAGAACCAGGUCAGGUUGCUCUGGGGACUCCCUGAUCAUCCCCACCAGCUUCCCAGCCUGAACAGCUCUCAGCAUCCUGCUCUCAGCCAUUGCCAGGUGACGAUGAUGAGGGCAUGCAAAAAUAUACACAAAUACACUUCCUCAGCUUCCUUUAGGCGAGGAAAACAACAGUUAUGACAGGAAUAUUGUUCACAGAGGUUUCAUUGUAUUAUUAUUAUGUACCUUUUAAUAAUAAAAAGGCAUCUACCUAUUC
Molecule: long non-coding RNA, 5256 nt
Organism: Numida meleagris (helmeted guineafowl)
Lineage: Eukaryota; Metazoa; Chordata; Aves; Galliformes; Numididae
Exons: 12
Source: RefSeq, a predicted model, not a curated record